GGGUUGUGAGGUUAAGCGACUAAGCGUACACGGUGGAUGCCCUGGCAGUCAGAGGCGAUGAAGGACGUGCUAAUCUGCGAUAAGCGUCGGUAAGGUGAUAUGAAC
RNAcentral lists this ribosomal RNA (105 nucleotides) under Citrobacter freundii. Its description in RNAcentral is "partial 23S ribosomal RNA". It matches the Rfam family "Bacterial large subunit ribosomal RNA", at positions 1 to 96 of the family's 2925-position model. Lineage: Bacteria; Pseudomonadati; Pseudomonadota; Gammaproteobacteria; Enterobacterales; Enterobacteriaceae. RNAcentral also lists the same sequence under 5 other names. The record is from RNAcentral.